Molecule: ribosomal RNA, 450 nt
Filed under: uncultured bacterium
Lineage: Bacteria
Description: bacterial SSU rRNA
Rfam family: Bacterial small subunit ribosomal RNA
Source: RNAcentral
GUGGGGAAUAUUGGACAAUGGGCGCAAGCCUGAUCCAGCCAUGCCGCGUGUGUGAAGAAGGCCUUAGGGUUGUAAAGCACUUUCAGUGGGGAGGAAGGGUGUUGUGUUAAUAGCACAGCAUUUUGACGUUACCCACAGAAGAAGCACCGGCUAACUCCGUGCCAGCAGCCGCGGUAAUACGGAGGGUGCAAGCGUUAAUCGGAAUUACUGGGCGUAAAGCGCACGCAGGCGGCUUUUUAAGUCGGAUGUGAAAGCCCCGGGCUCAACCUGGGAAUUGCAUCUGAUACUGGGAAGCUAGAGUAUGUGAGAGGGGGGUAGAAUUCCAAGUGUAGCGGUGAAAUGCGUAGAGAUUUGGAGGAAUACCAGUGGCGAAGGCGGCCCCCUGGCACAAUACUGACGCUCAGGUGCGAAAGCGUGGGGAGCAAACAGGAUUAGAAACCCUAGUAGUCC